Molecule: long non-coding RNA, 371 nt
Organism: Pipra filicauda (Wire-tailed manakin)
Lineage: Eukaryota; Metazoa; Chordata; Aves; Passeriformes; Pipridae
Exons: 2
Source: RefSeq, a predicted model, not a curated record
AGUUCCAAUGGGGUAGAUGGCUGGAUCAACUUUGCACGGUUGGCCUUUUCUGGGACUUGCCUGUUGCUCACUCCCUCCUCAUUCUCCAGUCCCAGGGCAUUGUAUCUCUUUCCUAAGGGCACUGCAAGGGGGAAGAGGAAAGUCCCUCCUCCUGCCCCAAGCACAGGUGAGAAUCUGGUCUCCUUUGUCUUCUGAGUUAGUCAAGUCAAUCAGUUCAGGGCUGGAAGCAAACGUACCUUCCUCUUGCCUUAAGAACCUUCCCAAAGAAAUUGAUCUAUCCUUCCUACUGAAAACUCAAGACAGAUAGGAUGUUUUUCAAAAAGACUUUUAGAGAUCCCAUCAAUAUUGGAAUAAAACCAGAAAAAAGACAA